This 233-nucleotide ribosomal RNA is filed under the name uncultured bacterium. Its description in RNAcentral is "partial 16S ribosomal RNA". It matches the Rfam family "Bacterial small subunit ribosomal RNA", at positions 118 to 350 of the family's 1533-position model. The record is from RNAcentral.
UGAGUAACCUGCCCUUCACUCUGGGAUAACUCCGGGGAAACCGGGGCUAAUACUGGAUAUGACUCGAACAGGCAUCUGUUUCGGGUGGAAAGAUUUAUUGGUGGAGGAUGGACUCGCGGCCUAUCAGCUUGUUGGUGAGGUAAUGGCUCACCAAGGCGACGACGAGUAGCCGGCCUGAGAGGGCGAUCGGCCACACUGGGACUGAGACACGGCCCAGACUCCUACGGGAGGCA